Molecule: ribosomal RNA, 497 nt
Filed under: Meyerozyma caribbica
Lineage: Eukaryota; Fungi; Ascomycota; Pichiomycetes; Serinales; Debaryomycetaceae
Description: partial 28S ribosomal RNA
Rfam family: Eukaryotic large subunit ribosomal RNA
Source: RNAcentral
UGUCCGAGUUGUAAUUUGAAGAUUGUAACCUUGGGGUUGGCUCUUGUCUAUGUUUCUUGGAACAGGACGUCACAGAGGGUGAGAAUCCCGUGCGAUGAGAUGCCCAAUCCUAUGUAAGGUGCUUUCGAAGAGUCGAGUUGUUUGGGAAUGCAGCUCUAAGUGGGUGGUAAAUUCCAUCUAAAGCUAAAUAUUGGCGAGAGACCGAUAGCGAACAAGUACAGUGAUGGAAAGAUGAAAAGAACUUUGAAAAGAGAGUGAAAAAGUACGUGAAAUUGUUGAAAGGGAAGGGUUUGAGAUCAGACUCGAUAUUUUGUGAGCCUUGCCUUCGUGGCGGGGUGACCCGCAGCUUAUCGGGCCAGCAUCGGUUUGGGCGGUAGGAUAAUGGCGUAGGAAUGUGACUUUGCUUCGGUGAAGUGUUAUAGCCUGCGUUGAUGCUGCCUGCCUAGACCGAGGACUGCGAUUUUAUCAAGGAUGCUGGCAUAAUGAUCCCAAACCGC